Molecule: ribosomal RNA, 482 nt
Filed under: uncultured bacterium
Lineage: Bacteria
Description: bacterial SSU rRNA
Rfam family: Bacterial small subunit ribosomal RNA
Source: RNAcentral
AAUGAACGUUGGCGGCGUGGAUUAGGCAUGCAAGUCGUACGCCCCGCAAGGGGCGUGGCGCAAGGGUGAGUAAGGCGACGGCAACCAACCCCGCGGCCGGGCAUAGCCACCCGAAAGGGUGGGUAAUUCCCGGCGAUCCCCGGAGGGGGCAUCCCCUCCCGGGUAAAGGUGAGACUCCGCCGCGGGACGGACCGUCGUGGUAUCAGCUAGUUGGUGGGGUGACGGCCCACCAAGGCGAUGACGCCUACCGGGCGUGCGAGCGUGGCCCGGCACACUGGGACUGAGACACUGCCCAGACUCCUACGGGAGGCUGCAGUCGAGAAUCUUCGGCAAUGGGCGCAAGCCUGACCGAGCGACGCCGCGUGGAGGACGAAGGCCUUCGGGUUGUAAACUCCUGUCGAGGGGGAACAAGGUGCCGUGCAGAGCGGCGCUUGAGUGAACCCUGGAGGAAGCACGGGCUAAGUUCGUGCCAGCCGCCGCAG